AGACUCCUGUUUCCUCAAGGCCAAUGAUUUGACUCACAGUCUUUCCUCAUACCUAAAAGAAAUUUGUCCUAAGUGGGUAAAACUUAGGAAGAACCACAGUGAGAAGAAAUCGGUCCUGAUGCUGAUCAUCUGCAGCUCGGCCAUCCGAGCCCUGGAGCUCAUUAGGUCGAUGACAGCAUUCAGAGGAGAUGGCAAAGUUAUAAAAUUAUUUGCAAAGCACAUAAAGGUAAGCAAGGGCCUGUGUGAUCCCUAAAGGCCUCUCCCAGACCUCAGCUUUUUCCUUUCAACCUCUUCUCCUAAUCUCCUUAGCACAUAUUUUAUUGAGUUCCUUCCUUAUGUAACAUUUAACAACUUUUCUGGUUUUUUAAAUUCUAUGCUUCUGCAUACCUACCUCCCCAGUAUGGCAGUCGCUACUGCCAUGCUCCGUCCCUGUAUAGAACCUGAGGCUUGACCCUUUGAUUCCUUGAAGAUUACCAGUUUUCUAGGGAUAUGCUCAUCUCUGCCCUGGAAGUCGACCCUACACAAGGAUAGCUCCAUUUGUAUUUCACUUUCUUAACUUUGAGAUAAAAUGUUCUAAAUUGGUGUAAGAUUGCACUUUCUUAAUGAGUUCCUUUUCUUUCUUCUCUUUCAUCUUGGAACAGGUCCAGGCACAG
Molecule: small RNA, 653 nt
Filed under: Pan troglodytes (chimpanzee)
Lineage: Eukaryota; Metazoa; Chordata; Mammalia; Primates; Hominidae
Description: retained intron
Source: RNAcentral